RNAcentral lists this small nuclear RNA (115 nucleotides) under Nicotiana sylvestris (wood tobacco). RNAcentral's name for it is "U5 spliceosomal RNA". It matches the Rfam family "U5 spliceosomal RNA". Rfam says of the family: U5 RNA is a component of both types of known spliceosome. The precise function of this molecule is unknown, though it is known that the 5' loop is required for splice site selection and p220 binding, and that both the 3' stem-loop and the Sm site are important for Sm protein binding and cap methylation. The record is from Rfam by way of RNAcentral. Lineage: Eukaryota; Viridiplantae; Streptophyta; Magnoliopsida; Solanales; Solanaceae. RNAcentral also lists the same sequence under 1 other name.
AGCCACGCUGUGAGCACAAAGCGAACUAUUCUUUCGCCUUUUACUAAAGAAUACCGUGUGCUGCCGCAAAUAGUGGCAUACGCCUAUUUUUGGAGGGGUUCUCAAAUUGAGUUCC